GGAUGUUCAACAAAAGAGAUGGCCAGUACACUUCAAAAGCUUUAAUGUUAUGGGAGAGAAAGGCUGAGAAUGAUCACAUCAGAGGAGACUAAGGAGAUACAAUGGCUGAAUGCAGUGUGGGCUCCUGGAUGGAAUCCUGCAUCAGAAAAGGACACAAGUGUGAAAAUUGAUGAAAUUCAAGUAAGAUCUAUUCAGGAAAGGUGAACUCACAGGAAAAGGAGACUAAAGUUCUGAUAGAGGAACUUUUACCAUAGGCUACCAGCCAUUCUUUCCAGGGAUGAUGUGUGCAAGACUCAUCUGCAUAACAAGACAGCCUUUGCUCACCCAUGCCUUUCCUCCUGGCGGCCCCCGUGACGUGUCACCACCUCCCACCUGGAGCUCCAGGCAUCUAGUCCUCUCUGUAGGGUAUAAAAACUGCAGUCAUCUGGCCCUUCUUUGAGUCUCAUAUUUGUGUGGCUCCCUGUGCAUGUGCACAGAAUAAAUGUGUGUGCCUUUGUCCUGUUAGCCCUCUAUUGAGAGUUCGUUUUGUAGACUCAAAUGAGCAAACCUUCAAAAAUGGGGAAAGGAAAUUCCCUUUGCUCCUACACCCUUCUCUUGGUUUCAAGAGAGCCAUGAAUAGCUUCACCAGGGAACUGUCAGUUCUCUUAGGAAACCACCCAGAUUCCAGCUACAACCUUGUAGGAUCAGAGUAAACCAGCCUUCAGAAGAAUGCAUGCCUCGGCCGGGCGCGGUGGCUCAUGUCUGCAAUCCUAGCACUUUAGGAGGCCGAGGAGGCGGAUCACCUGAGGUCAGGAGAUCAAGACCAGCCUGGCCAACAUGGCAAAACCCUGUCUCUACUAAAAAUACAAAAAAUUUAGCCAAUACAAAAAAAAUUAGCCGAG
Molecule: long non-coding RNA, 881 nt
Filed under: Homo sapiens (human)
Lineage: Eukaryota; Metazoa; Chordata; Mammalia; Primates; Hominidae
Description: HSALNT0001265
Source: RNAcentral